GGCGAGAUGGCCGAGCGGUCUAAGGCGCCAGACUAAGGCGGUUACUUCGUACGAAUCUCCAGCAAUCUGGUCCGAAAGGGCGUGGGUUCGAAUCCCACUCUCGUCA
Molecule: non-coding RNA, 106 nt
Organism: Lenzites betulinus
Lineage: Eukaryota; Fungi; Basidiomycota; Agaricomycetes; Polyporales; Polyporaceae
Source: the annotation of a GenBank genome assembly